This 121-nucleotide ribosomal RNA is filed under the name Exophiala xenobiotica. Lineage: Eukaryota; Fungi; Ascomycota; Eurotiomycetes; Chaetothyriales; Herpotrichiellaceae. The record is from RNAcentral.
GCAAUCGACCAUAGGACUGUGGAAAGCAGGACUUCCCGUUCGCUCAGUCAUACUUAAGCCACAUGCCGACGAGUUAGUAGCAAAGUUGGUGACAAUUUGCGAAUCCUCGUUGUCGAUUGUU